AUUGAACGCUGGCGGCAUGCUUUACACAUGCAAGUCGAACGGCAGCGCGGGCUUCGGCCUGGCGGCGAGUGGCGAACGGGUGAGUAAUGCAUCGGAACGUGCCCAGUAGUGGGGGAUAGCCCGGCGAAAGCCGGAUUAAUACCGCAUACGACCUGAGGGUGAGAGCGGGGGACCGAAAGGCCUCGCGCUAUUGGAGCGGCCGAUGUCGGAUUAGCUAGUUGGUGGGGUAAAGGCUUACCAAGGCGACGAUCCGUAGCUGGUCUGAGAGGACGACCAGCCACACUGGGACUGAGACACGGCCCAGACUCCUACGGGAGGCAGCAGUGGGGAAUUUUGGACAAUGGGGGCAACCCUGAUCCAGCCAUGCCGCGUGCGGGAAGAAGGCCUUCGGGUUGUAAACCGCUUUUGUUCGGGAAGAAAUCCUCUGGGCUAAUACCCCGGGGGGAUGACGGUACCGAAAGAAUAAGCACCGGCUAACUACGUG
Molecule: ribosomal RNA, 484 nt
Filed under: uncultured bacterium
Lineage: Bacteria
Description: partial 16S ribosomal RNA
Rfam family: Bacterial small subunit ribosomal RNA
Source: RNAcentral